RNAcentral lists this ribosomal RNA (1025 nucleotides) under Triticum aestivum (bread wheat). RNAcentral's name for it is "partial small subunit ribosomal RNA". The record is from RNAcentral. Lineage: Eukaryota; Viridiplantae; Streptophyta; Magnoliopsida; Poales; Poaceae.
CCCGCCUCCGAAGCCUCAAGCUCGUCAACUGCCUGCCCCCGCCGCUGGAGGGGUUCACCGCGCUCACCACGCUCCUGCUGCGGGACCUGCCCUGCUCCACACCUGCGGCCGUCUACGAGGGCGUGGUCGCCGCGUGCCCGCAGCUGCGGGUUCUGCAUCUCGUCUCCUGCUCCUUCGACAAGGAUACAGCCCGUUGGGUGGUGUUCGACGCGCCCAUGUCAGAAAUCAGAGAGCUUGUCGCUGACGGCCCGUUGAUGACGGUCAAGCUCCGCUCUCUCCCCAAGCUCGAGAGCCUCACUGCCGUGGAUGCCAGGGUUCUGUUGUGCUCCGACGCCGACGUCCCUUGCCUUGCGCAUGUGAGCCUCGUCUUCUCCAUUGGACCACUGGACAACCACUCCAUUGUGAACCACUUGAUUGCGUUGUUCAUGCUCUCGUUGAAAGACGCGGCCAUCAGCUUGAGGAAUCUCAUUCUGCGCUUUACUGGGCCAGAGAUGUGGAUUCUGCCCAAUCUGAAGAAUCAGUUUUCUCUGAUGCCCAAUCUGAAGAAGCUGCUUGUUGCGGAUGUGCCAUCCUCCUGGGAUGUCUCAUGGCCGCGCAUCCUCAUCCAGGCAGCACCACUGCUGGAGAGUCUUCAUGUUCAUGUUUCCCAGUCCCAGUCCCAGUCCCAGUGCCAACAUGAGGAGGAGCCAGGUCGUCAGAAUAUCUCCUCCUACUUGCAGAUGCAGCAGCCAUCAUCAUCAUCUUCUUGGCAGCGCCACCGCCAUUUGAAGGAGCUGGUGGUUGUUGGCUUUCAGAGCACGAGCAGGAUACAUCAUCAGCUAAUGUACCUCGUGAGGUUCGCCGUGGAUACUUCGACGGCGCUGCGCCGUGUUGCGGUGUUCAAGCAUGGUCAUGUCGAGGACAAGGGGGGCCCCUGGGACUGGGAGAUGGUGAGCAAGCAAAGCACCUGGAGCAACGAGGAGAAACUUGCCGUCCUGGACUGCUGUUCGACUUCGACACCCCAAAUUGAAGUGCUGCUAGGCUGA